RNA transcript from Felis catus (domestic cat), 7585 nucleotides. It is a transcript of the gene named BUD13 homolog, with no coding region annotated. The transcript is spliced from 13 exons. The record is from RefSeq and is a predicted model, not a curated record. Lineage: Eukaryota; Metazoa; Chordata; Mammalia; Carnivora; Felidae.
CCAGGCAUACCACAGAACUGAACAAAAUAAAGCCCUCCAGCCAUGGGGCUUAAAGUGGAUUUUUGAGGUCAAGUCCAUAAUUCCUGCAUUUGCUUUACCAGAUGCAGCUAAUAAACUAGAGGGCAAAGCCCAGUGCCACUGGGCAUAAAUUUAAUCCUGCUCAACUGCCCUUUGGGGGAGAUAGGGUUGGGGUCUGAGCUUGGGACUUGUCAGGCCAAAGUGAGUAGGAAGGGAGUGGUAGAACUGGAGACAUGGGCAGGAGAUGGGUUGAUGGGGUGGAGAGGGUGAUUCUGGUAAUGCUUGUUGGAGCAGAAGGAGGAGGCAUUCAGAUGCCUGCUGACAGCAGGGCAGAGGCAGGGCUCUGCUGUUCAGUUAGAUCCACCGAAGUGGACUAGAAGCCAACACAGGGCUGUGUCUGCAGGGGGACCCAUGGGGCCCUCCAGCUAAUGAAGCCCUGUAUCAGUCCAGUAUCCCCCUCCCACAAGCCCUCAGAGACAUAGUCUGUCUUCCUUCCUGGGCCUGAGCUGGACCUCUCAGGAUAAGCCAGUGGCUACAAGUUUAUGCAUGCACCUAUUUUAAUACGUGUAUUUUUUGAACAUGUAGUCUGAAUUCUGAGUACUUACAAAGUAUAACAAGCCUUCUUGACUAAUAUACUGUCACAGAUUGACAAAAAUUUAUCAUGAGAUAAGGAAAAUACACGAGCUAAUAUUUUAUUUCAAAAACUUUGGAUUUACCUCUUGCACCUCACUUUGCUAGCCUCUGUUCCCAAGGGUCAUGUUUUGGCUGUGUGAAGUUAGGGCAACUUCCUUAACCUCACCAGGCUUCUGUUUUCUCAUUUGUGAAACAUACUUGAGAAUUAGAAUUCAACCUCUCUAGCUUCCCUGGUUUGCUAUGCUGAAAGUAGAAACAAGUCCUUUUCAUUGGAAAGAUUUUAGGCAAGCGAUAGUUAGGGGCCACCUAUGAUAUCAAACACGGGGAAGUUCAGGGGUUGGAAACCAUGUUUUUUCACAGUAAUUACACUGGGUUUGGAAUUCCUGACUUCCUCUCUUGAGUCGUUCUUAGAAGCCUAUUAGAGCUAAACUCCCCCACCUAAACCUAUACUAAUACAAAUAACUGGUAAUAUGUACUGUGCGCUACACACUUUUCUAAGCACUUCACGCAGUAAUAGUAUCUCGUUCCUCCCAACCACGCAGUUAGGUGCCAUUCUCCCCAUUUUGUUAAAUGACUUGCCCAAGGUCCUACAGCUAGGAAGUCAACGGAGCCCCGACUCCAUACUCUGCCCCUCCAGGGCCCCUGUCCUUGACACUGGUGCUUUUGAAGUUGCCUUGGGCAGAGAUCUUGUUCGGGUCGUGGUGGUGGCCUCGUGCUGGUGCACCACCUGUUGAAAAAGCAGAUGGAUAGACGCACGCAAAACCAUCGUUGCGUUGGCGGAGGGACGCCGGACGUGGCUGCGCCCCUCGUCACCCCGCGGACGCGCUCUCGUGUCACCCCAGGCCGGUCUCACAGCUCUUCACCACUUCCGGUCCCGGCCCCGCCUCCUCAAGGCCGCUCCGUGCGUUUUGCGUUCAAGAAUUUUGUCCCCAGCGCCGAGCCGUCUCUCCGCCCCCGCCGCUGCCAUGGCGGCAGCUCCGCCGGUCUCCAAGGCCGAGUACCUGAAGCGUUAUUUGUCUGGGGCAGGUGCCGGCGUCGAUGGGGCCUCUGAGUCGGGUCGCAGGCGUCGCAGAAAGCGGCCGAAGCCUGGCGGGGCCGGCGGCAAGGGAAUGCGGAUCGUGGAUGAUGAUGUGAGCUGGACAUCUAUUUCCACCACUAAACCGGAAAAGGAGGAAGAGGAAGAUGAUGGAGAUUUGCCUGUGGUGGCUGAGUUUGUGGAUGAGCGGCCAGAAGAGGUCAAGCAGAUGGAAGCCUUUCGUUCCAGUGCCAAAUGGAAGCUUCUAGGAGGUCACAGUGAAGAUCUGCCCUCACACAGACACUUCCGUCGUGACUCCCUGGAUUCAUCUCCCCCAAGGAGGGUCCGUCACGACACCCCGGACCCAUCUCCCCCAAGGAGGGUCCGUCACGACACCCCGGACCCAUCUCCCCCGAGGAGGGUCCGUCACGACACCCCGGACCCAUCUCCCCCGAGGAGGGUCCGUCACGACACCCCGGACCCAUCUCCCCCGAGGAGGGUCCGUCACGACACCCCGGACCCAUCUGCCCCGAGGAGGGUCCGUCACGACACCCCGGACCCAUCUCCCCCCAGGAGGGUCCGUCACGACACCCCGGACCCAUCUCCCCCCAGGAGGGUCCGUCACGACACCCCGGACCCAUCUCCCCCCAGGAGGGUCCGUCACGACACCCCGGACCCAUCUCCCCCCAGGAGGGUCCGUCAUACUUCUCUGGAUCCUUCUCCCCUCAGGAAGCCUCAUCGUCAUUCUUCAGGCAUGUCUCCUAGGAGAACCCAUCAUGACACACCAGAUUCAUCUCUUCCUAGGAGGGCCUGUCACAAUUCCUCAGAUAGCUCUGUUCCCAGAAGGGCUCAAAAUAGCUCACCUGACACAUCUCAACCUAGAAGGACUCAUGACUCCUUGGACACAUCACAGCUCAGGAGGGCCCAUCAUAACUCCCCUGAUUUGGCUGCUAGUGUCCCUCAUUCACUGCCCAGACCCAAAAGCAGUAAAGGCCCAGAGAGAGCUUCUAGGAAAACUUCUCCACAUUCGAAGGGGCCGGGACCAUCUCACACAUCAAUCCCAAAGAACAGCAAAUAUGAGUAUGACUCAGACCGCUCUCCUCCACGAAAAAAGCGAGCAAAAUCCCAUAAGCAUGAUUCUAAAGACUCUUCCCCCAGCCAUAGGAAAUUUCAUACAAACUCUUCGCCUAGGAGAUAUCAGAGUCACAUGUUGGACUCUUCCUCCUACCCAGAUGAUAGUCGGAAAGCCUCUGAUUCAGAUCUUUCUCCUCCACGGCAAAAGCAGAAUUCAGGGCACAAAAAUUCUGAUUCAGAUCUGUCACCUCCACGGAAUAGACCUACAUACCAGAGCUCUGAUUCUGACCUAUCUCCACCAAGGAGGAAACAGAGGGCCAAAUCUUCUGAUUCCGAUCUGUCUCCACCUCGAAGGAGUCAGCCUCUAGGAAAGAAGGCUGCUCACAUGUAUUCUGGGGCAAGAACUGGGUUGGUGUUAACUGACAUACAGCGAGAGCAGCAAGAGCUCAAGAAACGGGACCAAGAAACUACGGCGUUUGAAGCUGAAUUCCAAUAUGCUGAAACUGUAUUUCGAGAUAAGUCUGGUCGUAAGAGGAAUUUGAAACUGGAACGUUUAGAGCAAAGGAGAAAAGCAGAGAAGGACUCGGAGAGAGAGGAGCUGUAUGCUCAGUGGGGAAAAGGGCUUGCCCAGAGCCGGCAGCAGCAACAAAAUGUGGAGGAUGCAGUGAAGGAAAUGCAAAAGCCUCUGGCGCGCUACAUUGAUGAUGAAGAUCUGGAUCGGAUGCUGCGAGAACAGGAAAGAGAGGGGGACCCCAUGGCCAACUUUAUCAAGAAGAAUAAGGCUAAGGAGAACAAGAAUAAGAAAGUGAGACCUCGCUACAGUGGUCCUGCCCCUCCUCCCAACAGAUUCAAUAUCUGGCCUGGAUAUCGCUGGGAUGGAGUUGACAGCCUCUCCGGAGCCUUCCUGGAUGUCUGAUUGGCACUUGGUGACAGCCCAUGCAGUCCCAUCACACUGCCAGGUAGGUAGGUAAUGACUGGUUUGCAGGUCCCGGCUGAUCUGCCCUGAAUCCUGAGCCCAGCUGCCCUUUUGGCUCACCUGCUCCUGACACAUGAUCAUUUCUGGCCUGGCUUGAGAGUGGCCCGCCCUGCCUGCCCCCCCUGGUUCUGGGCCAUCUCAGGACUCUGUGUGGUUUGGAAUUGUUCUUGCCCUCUCACCACCUCACCAUAUGCCCUCUCUCCUGGUCCCUGGCAGCCAGGUCCAGGCUGGACGUUCCCUCUGUUCCUCACAUCUGGGAUCCAGUGCUCGAUAGGACAGUGCCUGGCGACACUUUCAUUUCAUCUGUAACUCAGCAGGUUUCUGUUGACCCCUACUGUGUACCCUGAACUGUGCUGGACACAGUGGGAGAUAGAAGGGAAAUGAUAGAUGUGGGUCUUGCCAUCACUUGGGAAGGUUGUCGACGAGGGACAGAACCUAACAUGGAGAGCAUAUACUGAGCCCCCAGCGGGUGAGGAAGAGAGAGCAGGGCAGCGAGGCUUCUCAGGCUGGAGGUUCAGGGAGUCUUCGUGGAGGGGGAGAGCUCAGGUUCAGGUGGGCAGAAGGAGGGAACAGGAGAGACAAUUCCAGAUGAGGACAUAGUGUGAGUAAAGACCCAGAGGUGGGAAUGCUCAGAGCACUUUUGGAGGACGUGAAGGUGGCCACUGUGUUGUAAGUGGGGGGCUUUCUGUGGGAUACGAGCUAUAAUGGUAAGUUGGAGGCUCUUUCAGAUGUCAUGCUGAAGGUUUGGGACAUACGUGCUGUCUGGUUGGGGGUUCUGAAAGGUGUGGGGGUGCAGGGAUGAUCUUACAGCAGUGAUUUGCUAGGUGGACAAUGGUGGGCUGUGUUAGUUUCCAUCGCUACUGUAACAGAUUACCACAAAAUUAGUGGCUUAAAAGAACACAGAUUUAUUAUCUCACAGUUCUGCAGGCCAGAAAUGCAGGUUGAUUUGACGAUUUUCUCUGCUCUGGGUUUAUACAAGACUGAAAUCAAGAUGUUGGCUGGUUGGACUCCUCUGGGGAGGCUGUGGGAAGGAUCCACUUCCAGGCUCAUUCAGGUGGUUGGCAGAAUGCUAUUCCUUGUGGUUGUAGGACCGAGACCCCCGUUCCAUUGCUGGCUGUAAACUGGGGCUGCCCUUUUCUCCUAGGGGCUGCUCCCCAGUUCUUGCACACAGGCCCCUAUCUCAGGGCCGGUGACAGUGUAGGAAAUCCUUUUUUGCUCUUGGAAGCUCUCUGACCUCCCUUUCUGCUGCACCUCUCCCACGAUUUUCUCUGCAUCUCUCUGACCUCAGCUAGAGAAAGUUCUCUGCUUCUAAGGGCUCAUUCGAUCAGAUGGGAGUCACCUGGGUAAUCCAAGAUACUCUAUCUUAAGGUCCAUAUCUUUAAUUUUCAACAUCUGCAGUCCCAUGUUCAACAUAUUCCCAGGCUCCAGGGAUUAGGGCAGGGAUAUUCUGGGGGAGAGGCAUUCUUCUGCCUACUAUACAGGACCAGAUAGCUUAGGUGGUUCCUACAACAGUCCUGGUGAGCGGAAACGAGGGCAAGAACUUGAGAUACGAGCACCAAAAGGUUGGGCAGGUGCCAAGUCAUUUCAAGGGCAGUGACCGGAUACUUGAUGACUGGUUGCAUGUGUGUGGCUUUGAGGGUGUGGUUAAGGAGAGGGGAGGAUUAAUCUUGGAUCCAGCCUCGGAAACAAGAGAAAGAUGGUGACUCACCGGUCACUCUCGGAGGAGGUGCUGGUUGUGGAGGGCAGAUGAAGCACUUGUUUCGGGCAGGAUGACUAACGGGUGAUGGCAGAAUUCUCACCAGCCCGAAACUGACUUCUGAGUGGUUGGGAACCCUCAACAGAAAAGUCAGAUCUGGUCGUACUAACCUGUGAGCUAUUCACGUGGAAGCAGUGGUUGAAGGCUUGGGGCGGGGAUGGGGAGUGGGGUGUGGAUCGCUGUGAACAGGGGAGGUAGGGCAGAAAGGAAAUUGGGCUAGAACGUCCGCGGCUGACCAAAGAAGAGGUGGGAGGAGGAAGAAGAGCUAGAGAGAGUGAAGAGCAAGCACAACCAGGCAACUGGAAAGGAAGGAGGGGAGCGAGGAGAGGUCCCAUUUGUGAGGCCAGGCAACACCUGUGGGCAGGGUCAGGAAGGACAGAGGUCUGGUGCCGGAGUGGGACAGAAGCCACCAGGGGGUGAUGGCAUGGCCACGGGUGAUGGGGACCUGCGUUUCCAAGUGAGGAGGCUGAGGAGAGACAGGGCAGCGUGGUGGGAGGGAGCGGGAACACACAAUGGGCUCAGUAGGGCCCACAGGUGCUGUGUGUCGGUAUGCGGGGAGGGAUGGGAAAGGCCAGCGUGCUUGGAAACAGAGCAGGGGAGGAGACUGGUACUGCUGGGAGGAGGGGGAGGAAUAUGAUUCGGGAGCAAGGGCUCCCAGGUGGCAGGGGCUCAUGAGGGUGAGAAUGGAACUGGAAGCUUUCAGGAGGAGAGGCCACAGGUGGGUCCAUCAACACGUGUGGGUAGGGCAGAGCUCACCUGGGGCCCACUGGCCCCACUGUGUGCUGGGGGUCUGCACGCAGGACAGAGGGGAGGCCAGGGCCUGGUACCUGCUAGGACUGGCGGGGCAGGGGCCCAUGGCCCUCUUAGAACAGAAGCCUUCGGGGGUGGAUGCUGGGUCUGCGGGAGGGGACAGAGGACAGGACCAGGCAGAGCAGCAGAUGUAGCCACAGGUUCUUCCUAUCCCACACCUAUUUGCUAUCUCCUGCUUAUCAUGGGGGGCCCGGGGCUUUGCAGCACAAAAGGUCCUGGCUGAAAGGAGUUAAUUUACUCAAGGAGGUUUGGGAAGAGGAGGCACAAAGAUGUCUCUCAAAGGGCAAAAGGCCCUUUGGGAGCAGGAGAGCACUGUUUCCAGGGCUCUGGCUCCAUCGGUGUGUGGUCAACUACAUGGCCUUCCACGUGCCCAGUGUUCUUGUGAGUCCAGCCUCCCUGCUACUUCUGACAUUUCACAGGCCUUUGUCUGAGGCCUAAUUGCCUGCCACAGCGCACUGCCCCAAGACCCCGCCAGCCAUUUUGCCGGCUGGUCUGCCGGGCUGCUCAGAGCCGCCGGAAGCCGUCUGGCAUCGACAGGCAGGCCCAGAAUAAAGCUGCAUCCACAGUGGAGUUUCCAUUGCGCUAAUCCAUCACCGUGGAGCAGGCAAGAUUAUGCUUCCCCAAAAAAACUCUGGGAGAUAAAUAUGAGAGGAUCAGUACUGCUGUGGGCUCUGUGAGUGUGGAUUUGGAGAGGGACCCAAGAUGCCUGCGAAGAGGCAAUGAUGGCAGAGCUGAUGAAGCUCCUACAGUCAGGAGAGAGACACAUGACAUACCUCGGGCACUUAGUGUGGCUCACCCUCCAGAGCACUCAACUGAUGUCCCACCUGUUCUGGGAAGACCCUACUCGGGCCCAGCCUCUAGCAGGUCCUGCCCACAGCUGGCCUGCUGGUCCUUCAUAUAAAGGGGAGCCAUGUUCUGCACCUGGAGCCAGAGUGAAUCAGUGAGCGAGGAGGAUUGUCCAGAAGGAUCCGGAUGAGGACCCCUGCCUCCUCUUUGUUGUCCCCACCUUGAUGCCAUGUGCUGGUUCUGAUGACUUUGGCUGUGCACCUGAAUUCUUGUUCUGGCAGCGGGCUCAAAGCCCUGUCCUGUGUGCCCACCAAUCUCCAUUCUGGGAUUCAGUCAAAUUCCAGUCCUUAAACGUGAGCCUUCCAAGGAUUACUCUAAGUCUUCUUGGAACUCACCCCAGACUGAGACUGGAGAGAGUGGUGUUCCCUGGUACCUGCUUGUUCACCAGACUGAGCCUCAAAAGUCAUUGCCCUCAGCCGGGUCAGUUCCUGCAGCACCUAGGCCACCCCAGGGGCAG